UCCCGUUUCCAGCGAAGGCCUCAAAGAGGUCCAAAUAUCCACUUGCAGACUUUACAAACAGAGUGUUUCCAAACUGCUCUAUGAAAAGAAAGCUUAAACUCUGUGAGUUGAACGCACACAUCACAAAGUAGUUUCUGAGAAUGAUUCUGUCUAGUUUUUAUACGAAGAUAUUUCCUUUUCUUCCUUUGGCCUCAAAGCGCUUUCAAUCUCCACUUGCAAAUUCCACAAAGAGUGUCUCAAAUCUGCUCUGUCUAAAGGAAGGUUCAACUCUGUGAGUUGAAUACACACAACACAAAGAAGUUACUGAGAAUUCUUCUGUCUAACAUUAUGUGAAGAAAUCCCGUUUCCAACGAAGGCCUCAAAGAGGUCCAAAUAUCCACUUGCAGACUUAACAAACAGAGUGUUUCCAAACUGCUCUAUGAACAGAAAUGUUAAACUCUGUGAGUUGAACACACACAUCACAAAGUAGUUUCUGAGAAUGAUUCUGUCUAGUUUUUAUACGAAGAUAUUUCCUUUCUACCAUUGGUCUCAAAUCUCUUGAAAUCUCCACUUGCAAAUUCCACAAAAAGAGUGUUUCAAAUCUGCUCUGUCUAAAGGAAGGUUCAACUCUGUGAGUUGAAUACACAAAACGCAAAGCAGUUACUGAGAAUUCUUCUGUCUAGCAUUAUAUGAAGAAAUCCCAUUUCCAACGAAG
This 694-nucleotide long non-coding RNA is filed under the name Homo sapiens (human). RNAcentral describes it as "HSALNT0161644". Lineage: Eukaryota; Metazoa; Chordata; Mammalia; Primates; Hominidae. The record is from RNAcentral.